UACGUAGGGCGCAAGCGUUGUCCGGAAUUAUUGGGCGUAAAGAGCUCGUAGGCGGCUUGUCACGUCGGCUGUGAAAACCCGGGGCUCAACCCCGGGCCUGCAGUCGAUACGGGCAGGCUAGAGUUCGGUAGGGGAGACUGGAAUUCCCGGUGUAGCGGUGAAAUGCGCAGAUAUCGGGAGGAACACCGGUGGCGAAGGCGGGUCUCUGGGCCGAAAC
This 217-nucleotide ribosomal RNA is filed under the name uncultured bacterium. RNAcentral describes it as "partial 16S ribosomal RNA". It matches the Rfam family "Bacterial small subunit ribosomal RNA", at positions 524 to 740 of the family's 1533-position model. The record is from RNAcentral.